This 253-nucleotide ribosomal RNA is filed under the name uncultured bacterium. Its description in RNAcentral is "partial 16S ribosomal RNA". It matches the Rfam family "Bacterial small subunit ribosomal RNA", at positions 524 to 776 of the family's 1533-position model. The record is from RNAcentral.
UACAGAGGGGGCAAGCGUUAUUCGGAAUUAUUGGGCGUAAAGGGCGCGUAGGCGGCUUUGCAAGUGACGGGUGAAAUCCCUCGGCUUAACCGAGGAACUGCCUGUCAAACUGCAUGGCUUGAGACCGGGAGAGGUGAGUGGAAUUCCCAGUGUAGCGGUGAAAUGCGUAGAUAUCUGGAGGAACACCGGUGGCGAAGGCGGCAUCCUGGAUUGGUAUUGACGCUGAGGAGCGAAAGCUAGGGGAGCAAACGGG